Molecule: RNA transcript, 3331 nt
Organism: Pieris napi
Lineage: Eukaryota; Metazoa; Arthropoda; Insecta; Lepidoptera; Pieridae
Gene name: myrosinase 1-like
Exons: 10
Source: RefSeq, a predicted model, not a curated record
UAUCUGAAGCUAUGCCACUUGAGAUACGAAAUGUCAACGUUAAAAGGGAAAAGUGUUGAGGCGCUCGGCAGUGCGCGGGAGUGUGGCAUCGUCAACACACGAUGGCUUGGUCUCAUUUUAUCGUCCUCGUGGCAGUCACUUGUGCGAGCCAAGCACACUACACCAAAUUCCCUGAAGGAUUCACAUUUGGUGUCGCAACAGCAGCCCAUCAAAUCGAGGGAGCAUGGAACGUCAGCGGAAAAUCUGAAAAUGUCUGGGACCAUUUAACCCAUACCAAACCAUGGAUGGUAGCUGACGGCACUAACGGUGAUGUAGCUUGCGACUCCUACAACCGAUAUCUAGAAGAUGUUGAGGAACUGGCUUACCUUGGCGUAGACUUCUACCGAUUCUCAUUCUCUUGGGCAAGAUUGUUGCCUACGGGUCGCGUCGACCAAAUCAAUCCUGAGGGUGUUCAAUAUUACCACAAUCUUCUCGAUGCUCUUGCUGAAAAGAAUAUAGAGCCUUUGGUAACGCUGUUCCACUGGGAUUUACCUCAAACCCUUCAGGACUUAGGUGGUUUCGCCAAUCCUAAAAUGAUUCAAUACUUCAGUGAGUACGCCGAUUUCUGCUUCCGAGAGUACGGAGACAAAAUCAAGUCCUGGAUAACCUUCAAUGAGCCUUACGAAAUUUGUGAAGAUGCGUACGGUGAUAUCAAGAAAGCACCAGCUAUUGACAGUCACGGUGUUGGGAACUACUUGUGUAGUGAUAAUCUAUUGAAGUCCCAUGCUGAGGCAUACCAUUUAUACAACGAGAGUUACAGGCCAAAACAAAAUGGUAGAAUCAUGAUCUCCAUUAACUCUAUCUGGUAUGAACCUGCAGAUCCGAAUGACCCAGAACAAGUGGCGUUAGCUGAAGUAGCCAAUCAAUUUAAGUUCGGUUGGUUCGCACACCCUAUCUUCACAGAAGAGGGCGGUUAUCCACCAGUGAUGAUUGAAAACGUCGCUCAAAACAGUCAAGCCGAGGGUUUGCCCAAGUCCAGACUAGAACAGUUCGACGAUUACUGGAUUGAAAGGAUUAAGGGUACAUCAGACUUCCUCGGUAUUAACCACUACACUACCCAUCUAAUUACGGGCCCAGGAGUUGACCCUAUCGCAAAAUCGCCAUCCUGGUUGAAAGACAUCGGAGCGGUUACGUCUUUAGAAGUCGGCGAAGCUACUGCAUCCGAGUGGUUCCGAGUGGUACCUACAGGGUUCGCUAACCUGCUACGUUGGUGUAAGAGCAGCUACAAUGACCCACCAAUCUACAUCACAGAAAAUGGCUACUCAGACCGCGGGACUUUGGAAGACUACGACCGCAUCAAAUACUUUAACGACCACCUGGGAGCUAUACUGAAUGUGAUUAACGAUGAUGGUGUGAGAGUGCUUGGAUACACCGCGUGGACUCUAAUGGAUAACUUCGAAUGGAGAGCUGGAUUCUCAGAGCGUUUUGGCUUCUACCACGUAGACAUCACGGACCCAGCUCGGCCAAGAACAGCUAAGCUAUCCGCUGAGUACUACAAGAAAUUGAUCGCAAACCGCGAGUUACCGCAGGACGCACAGUUCAAGAAACCUUCGGAGAGACGGCGGUACUAAAUUAUUAACAAAGGUGAAACAGGAAAUCUGCUUUUUCUAAGAAACUAACUAGCAACGCAUAAAAAUGGAUCUCUGAAGAAAUAAAAAUAACAAUAGAUAUUUAAACAAAUAUUUAAUUCAUAUACCAAAUUAUAUACAAUGAAAUCGGAGAAAAAAAUUUCAUUGUUAUAACAUUGACUCAUGUAAUGUACACUACAGUGAAAACUUGCAUGUCAGACUGAAAGAUAUGUAUGUAUUAAGGCUAUACUUAGAAAUAUUUACUUGAUAUAUUGUUCGGAAAAUUAUUCAAGCCAGAAGCACCGAACUGACGCGAUGGUAAGCAACAUGGAAUGUUUUGUAGUAGCGACUACCUAGUAGGUCUAUGUAUUGUGUAUAAUUAUAUUUUGAUUGAGUAUUAAAGGCGCUAACAAAAAAAACUAUUUUACUAUAUUAUAUGUAUGUUUACGAUAUCUAGUAUCAUUCACUACAUAAUCGUAAACUUGUAUUUUUGCAGUUUAGGUACAAUUUUUAAAACAAUUAUCUGAAUUGGUUGUUAUUACUUCGAAAAGACAGAUGUAAACAUUUUAAUAAAACCUACUAAGCUAUCGCUAUUGGCUACACAUUGCAGUGUAAUGAAUUAUUUCUUAAAAAUUAAGCGAAUACAAAGCUAUUAACAUUGAAAGACUUAGUCAUCUCAGCUAAAAUCUAAGUUAAGGAAACAUGCAAUACAGAAUAAUAAACUGAACAAUAUGAAAAGCGUAACUUAACAAGAAAUUAUAUACGACAAAUACAACAAGACAUCUACAGAUUACAAAAUAAAAUGUAUAAUAAACCCAGCACCGUUACAACUAAUUAUAAUAGUUACACAGUUGCUAUUUAAACUAUUUAUAAAUGAUUACAUUAGUCUUACAAAGAAAGUACAUUUACUAAUAUGGCAAAGUUUUCAAUGUAGCAUUCGAAAAAUAAAGACCUAAUUUUAUUAUUGAAUUUAUACAAACUCUAUACUAGGUGGGCUAAACGUAAUUUUGAAGUUAAGCCUAAACCAAAUGAAUUGUAAAUACGUUGGGUAUGACGAACAGAGUUGUUUGGUGAAUACAAAAUCAUGUGGUAAAGCAUACAGCAGGGCAUUUCAAUCAUACAAACAUGUACACGUAUAUUUACCACCAUCGAUGCACGGUUUUGUCGAAAUCUCAUAUUUUGUUAAUAUUUCUAGCAGCACCCGCACACACAAACGUUUAGAUACAUAUACAUUGUCCACUUCGAACCAAAUAUUAUCUAUAAACUUAAUAGUUGCCAAAAGAACUAAGUUACGAUUAAUUAAGUCUACAUCUAACAUAAUCUCGAAAAAUACACAAGGACGGUGUAAGUAGACAAAAAAACGUUACUACAACACAUACAUAAGUAGUUUAAUUAUGUCCAAAUAAUACAUUAAUCGAUGAACAUCGAUCGGUAAAAAUUUGUAGAAAUAUAUCUUUAUAACUAUUACCUAAAUAACACAAUAAAUACAUUUUAAAAGGCACAAUAAGGCACUGUUACGUCGAGAUGGUAUCACAAUCGAUGGCGCACUCUAAAACGUGUUUCAAAUGUAAUUUCAAUUUGUCCAUUAUUUUUGUUAAUGAAAAUAUUCUUGACCGGUCAUUUAGAAAUAACUUGAGAAACGUUUUUGAAUACGGGCCAUAAUUUCGUUAAUGAAAUUUAUUCUGUUAUCUUCGACAUCUUAACAAUAGUCUAUUCUAUUUGAA